Molecule: ribosomal RNA, 497 nt
Filed under: uncultured bacterium
Lineage: Bacteria
Description: partial 16S ribosomal RNA
Rfam family: Bacterial small subunit ribosomal RNA
Source: RNAcentral
GAUGAACGCUGGCGGCGUGCCUAAUACAUGCAAGUCGAGCGAACAGACGAGGAGCUUGCUCCUCUGACGUUAGCGGCGGACGGGUGAGUAACACGUGGAUAACCUACCUAUAAGACUGGGAUAACUUCGGGAAACCGGAGCUAAUACCGGAUAAUAUAUUGAGCCGCAUGGUUCAAUAGUGAAAGACGGUUUUGCUGUCACUUAUAGAUGGAUCCGCGCCGCAUUAGCUAGUUGGUAAGGUAACGGCUUACUAAGGCAACGAUGCGUAGCCGACCUGAGAGGGUGAUCGGCCACACUGGAACUGAGACACGGUCCAGACUCCUACGGGAGGCAGCAGUAGGGAAUCUUCCGCAAUGGGCGAAAGCCUGACGGAGCAACGCCGCGUGAGUGAUGAAGGUCUUCGGAUCGUAAAACUCUGUUAUUAGGGAAGAACAAAUGUGUAAGUAACUAUGCACGUCUUGACGGUACCUAAUCAGAAAGCCACGGCUAACUACGUG